UACGGAGGAUGCAAGCGUUAUCCGGAUUUAUUGGGUUUAAAGGGUGCGCAGGUUGUUUGAUAAGUCAGUGGUGAAAGUCUGUCGCUUAACGGUAGGAUUGCCAUUGAUACUGUUGGACUUGAAUAUGGAUGAGGUAGGCGGAAUGUGUAGUGUAGCGGUGAAAUGCUUAGAUAUUACACAGAACACCGAUUGCGAAGGCAGCUUACUAAUCCAUCAUUGACGCUGAGGCACGAAAGCGUGGGGAUCAAACAGGA
Molecule: ribosomal RNA, 254 nt
Filed under: uncultured prokaryote
Description: partial 16S ribosomal RNA
Rfam family: Bacterial small subunit ribosomal RNA
Source: RNAcentral